Molecule: ribosomal RNA, 253 nt
Filed under: uncultured bacterium
Lineage: Bacteria
Description: partial 16S ribosomal RNA
Rfam family: Bacterial small subunit ribosomal RNA
Source: RNAcentral
UACGAAGGGGGCUAGCGUUGCUCGGAAUCACUGGGCGUAAAGCGCACGUAGGCGGAUUGCUAAGUCAGGGGUGAAAUCCUGGAGCUCAACUCCAGAACUGCCUUUGAUACUGGCGAUCUCGAGUCCGGGAGAAGUGAGUGGAACUGCGAGUGUAGAGGUGAAAUUCGUAGAUAUUCGCAAGAACACCAGUGGCGAAGGCGGCUCACUGGCCCGGUACUGACGCUGAGGUGCGAAAGCGUGGGGAGCAAACAGG